RNAcentral lists this ribosomal RNA (710 nucleotides) under uncultured eukaryote. RNAcentral's name for it is "partial Eukaryotic large subunit ribosomal RNA". It matches the Rfam family "Eukaryotic large subunit ribosomal RNA", at positions 1273 to 1973 of the family's 3401-position model. The record is from RNAcentral.
AAGGAGUGUGUAACAACUCACCUGCCGAAUGGACUAGCCCUGAAAAUGGAUGGCGCUGAAGCGGGUCACUUAUACUCCACCACUGGCGCAAAGGCUUGGCGCCAGUGAGUAGGAGGGCGUGAAGGUUGUCGUGCAGCUCGUGGCGCGAGCCAGAGUGAAACGGCCUUUAGUGCAGAUCUUGGUGGUAGUAGCAAAUAUUCAAAUGAGAACUUUGAAGGCCGAAGUGGAGAAAGGUUCCAUGUGAACAGCAGUUGGACAUGGGUUAGUCGAUCCUAAGAGAUAGGAGAGCUCCGUUAGCAGGCGCGACUUUUUCGGAAGUCGCCGCUUAUCGAAAGGGAAGCGGGUUAAUAUUCCCGCACCAGGACGUGGAUACUGAGUGGCAACACAAGCGAAGCCGGAGACGUCGGCAGGAAUCCCGGGAAGAGUUCUCUUUUCUUGUUAACAGUCUGGCACACCCUGGAAUCGGAUUAACCGGCGAUAGGGUAUGGCGGCUGGGAAAGCAGUUUAAUCUUUGAACUGUCCGGUGCAUUCCUGACGGCCCUUGAAAAUCCGGUGGCGUGACUUAUUCGCACCCCUGGUCGUACUCAUAACCGCCUCAGGUCUCCAAGGUGUGCAGCCUCUGGCCGAUAGAAGAAUGUAGGUAAGGGAAGUCGGCAAAAUAGAUCCGUAACCUCGGGAAAAUGAUUGGCUCUGAGGGUUGGGCUUGUGGG